GAGCUUUUAACCCAUGGAUCCUUGGAAAAGGAAAGGUCAUGGGUUAUUAGGGUUUCACCCUAACCAUGCACACUAUAUAAGCAUGCUUAUGGAGCAUGAAAUGGCAACUAGUGAACUAGUGUGUGUGUGCUUGUGUGUGGCCAAAAAUACAAGUGUGUAUACUCUCUCAAAGUUUUCCAAGAGUUUGUGGUGUUUUGUGAUUCCAUUUGAGGCAUUCACACUAUUGGUGCUUGGCCCUCAAACUCCUUAAGAACCAAACUCAUCAAAAAGGUAUGUAAUCUCUUCUAACUCUUUUAUGUUGAAAUGUUCCCCAUGCCAUGUUAGAUAGGUUAUGAACCUUGGAAAAUUAUUAUUUUGCAUGUAUUUAGACAAACAUAGAUCCAAGGUUUAUUAGGGUUGCAUGCACACUUAGGAAGUGUUAGAUUGCUCAAAACCCAACAGUGGUAUCAGAGCCUAGGCUUGCUUGUUUGAUACUUGAUGCAAAAUAGUGAAAAAAGUUGAAAUUGUUGCUGUCUGGCUGAUGGACUCGCCGAGUCCAUGGGGGGACUCGCCGAGUUCAAGGCAAAAUUCAUCCUACUCGGCGAGUAGGUUCGUGCACUCGGCGAGUAGAAUGAUCAGAAUGCAGAAUUUCGACUUUUGCUGCUGGAAAUGGACUAGAAACAUUACCCUAAACUGUUUUGGUGUUUUAAAACUUGUUUUAGUUGGUGUAAUGGUUGUUCUAAUCCAUUUACAAUAGCAUAUAUCAAAAUUCCAUGAUUUUUAUGUGUUCAUAUAAUUCUUGAAAUUUUGAUGAUCAUGUUCAUGUUCUUAUGAAUUUAGAAGAUGAUAGGAAUUAUUUGCUGAAUUGUUUAGAAUUAAUUCUUGAUCAUUUAUGUGUUUUAAUGGAGUCCAUAAUUUGUCCUCAAGUUAUGGAUAUCCAAAGGUCACUUUUCUUUAACACACACAUUUAAACACAUAAGUUACAUGAAAAUGAAGAGUCUUCAUUUUUAUGAACCUUUAAUUCAUAAGUUAUGAAAUGAAAAGUUUUGGAUAGUUACAAAACUUGCCCUCAAGUUUUGGAAUUUGAAAAGUUUCACACACUUUAAUAAACUUUAAUUCCAACACUUAGAGUUUUAAAAGUUAAAAUUCAACACUUAUACUAUUUAUAACAUUAAUGGUUAAUUAUUAUAUAUAUGUAUAAGAACAAGUCGUUUUACCGUUAGUAGGCCUCAUUCACGAAGCCGGUCUAUAAGGUGGGUAUAAGGUUGUUGCCUAUAAAAUGGCGACUUAAUGGGUGUCCACUCUCACCCACCGCUUGCUUGAUCGGUGGAGGGUCGUUAGCCGAACGGGUAGGACAAUGACUUUAAAUUCUCAUUAAAAGUAUAAUGAUUAUUAUAAAGUAACUAAAAAUUUUUUAUUUAAUUCCCAAUCUUAGUUACUUUAGGAAAAAUGUGAAUUUGGUGCUAGCCCAUGGAAUUCACACUUUGUACCUUACCAAGUCGUUGGUGGAGCGUGUGUGGUUAACCGGCACACUAACUUGGACUAGUAAGGAUCACGAAGGGUGACUUAAUGUUUGUCAUAGAUCAAUGGAGCGUGUGUGGUUAACCGGCACAUUGAUUAGGUGAUAAUAUUAAGGGUACCAAGUGAAUUGGUAUGGUUAUUCACACCUUGUUUUGUGAUCCUCGGCAUCCCAGUCACAAAAUUUGAGAGGGCACACUCGAGAUUGAAACAUGCCAUUGAAAAGUUCAAUGAAUCUCAAAAGAUCUAGGAAUUUCAAAUCCAAUUAAAACCUAAUAAAUUAUUUCGUUUUUCAUGGUGGAAAUUGGUGAAUCGUCAUUCGCCUACCUUCAAAUAUUUUAUAGCUUGGAUUACGGCAUCCCUCUUCCAAAUUAUAAAAUAUUGUGUUGGGUCCUAGCCUUAAUAUUUCAUAUUGGGUGUUAUAUUAAGGACUUUGAAUCAACUAACUUGAUUUUCUCCCAUUAUAGAUGUCUGGUUCAGACAACUAUGAUCUUCCCAAAUCUCUUGAAGAUGGUGUCCCUCAACAUCAUGCUUCACUUCCUCCACCUCCUCCAAUUAUUCUCCCUCACCCACAAGUUCUUGAAAAGUUUAAAGUCACUCAAUCCCUAUUGGCAAGCAUAGUCUAUGUGUGCUCACAUCUUGGAGAUAAAGUCACAUAUUGACAAGCCGGGAGAGUUGGGUGUCAAAGUCUCGUGAAAGUUGGAUGUUCAAUCACUUUCUUAGUAACAUAGUGAGUCUCUUUGGGACUACUAUGAGACAGACUAUGACAUGACCCUUAAUGAUGUUAUCUAUUUGCUUGGUGUUGUGGAAUCAGCAAUGAUUUGGAACACCAGUAAAGCAAAUUUGAUUAAAAGAACAACUUCCCAAGUCUUAAAUGGACAUUGACAAUGGUAGCAUUGGAUAUCUAGAAAAGGAUUUCUCUUCCCAAUGGAAAGGGAUCGGCCAUAGUCAACUCGGUUGACCAAAUGGUAAAGAGAAAGGCUAAGUCUGAGAUAGUCUCAUGUGCCAUUACCAAAGGGUCCAUGUGUUUUGUUGCCAAAGGAAGGGGCAUUGGUUGCGAAGCUGCCCUAUUCACCUGAAAGGUCAUAAGGUUGAUCAAGUCAAGAGGUUUGACUCUACUUCGGGUAAAGUCCACUGUCUAACUCUAUUAAGUUCCUAUUUGGAGAUUCUUAUUACAUAAUGUGAAUGGGUCACAUGCUGAUGUUUUUAAGAAUCAAAGAAAAGAUAGGAAGCUUAAAGUAAGUAUAUGUUGAUUCUGAUUGCGAAGGUGGGUUUCGAUCGCAUGGUUCGGUAAUCAGAAUUUUGAGCUGUUGCUUAAGAGUUAUAAUAUAUUGCUUAUGAAUAGAUAACAACAAGGUUUUCAUGUGGAUUGUAAGGAUAAGUUUUUCCGCAAAGUUUUAAAAAAAAAAAAAAAAAGGGUUUUAAUUUUAUUUAUUUUAAAAAUAUCCUUACAAUGGCAUCUGUGGAAAAUUGUUGCUUAUAUGUUUCCAGUAAUAGCAAUAUUGGAAAGUGGAUUUGAUUCUUUCAUUUGUGGUAGUGUCUGAAUUUACCAAAUGAAGAAAGUUUUUCAUCACCCAAGUUUCAAUUGGACAGAAACUUGGAAUCAUACAAGUUGUAUUGUAUGAUGAAUGAGAAUUUUCAUCUUUGAAAAUUAAGACUAAUUCUUUGAUCACAUGUAUAUGUGAGUCAAUUGAAGGACUAAGGAAUUAGGUACACUGGGUGUGCGCUGGUCAAGGUCCACCACAAAGAUUGAUUUGUCAUGAUUUACUAAAGAUUAGUAAAUAUGAUUAUACUUAUGAGGUUAAGUAUAAUUCUGUAACAUUGGAAAGGUUACAAUGUAUGACAAAACAAAUGAGAAGAAUCAAAUUAGGCAGAAAGAUAAAAGUUUCUCAAAUCUGAAAGGAUGGGAGAGUACUUUAGUAUCGUAUUUCAUGAUCAUCUUAAUGAUUAUGAAACCAUAUCACAAAUUCAUACUCUAAGGACGUCUUAGUGCAUUGUUAUGGCUAAGAAGAGAGGUCAUGAAUUGUUGGAUUGGUUAAAAUCAAGAAGAUGAGUCAUACUUCGUUCCAAAACAAUUCUUAGAGUCAUACUCCAAGAUUGUAACUUUGAGUGACAUAAAGGAAGAUUUAUUAACACUAGUCAAAUGUAAGAGUAAAAUGUUUUCUACUCUUGUACAUUUGAGAUUGGUAAGUUGUGAUGUCUUGGAUGAGACAAAGACCAACUAAGACCAAUUGUGUGAAGUGUUAGUCUUGAUAAGAAUCCGCACUAUCCCUUGAAUAUUUGUUUUGUCAAGGAAUGGUUCUUGACUGGGGAAACUUAUAUGUCAAGGGGACAGUGGGAGCCUUAAAGAUCCUGAAAGAGUUUCAAGAUUUAAUCAAGAGUAAAACCUGUAAUUUAUCACUAGCACACGACUUAAGGUUUGCAACCUAUCGUGUUGACAUAAUUCUUAUUUCUGUACCUACUUCAAAUAAGUUGAAUUUGCAUGUGAGUUAUCAGAGUUCAACUUGGAAGCAUUGGUGGGCCUUGUGCUACCAAGGUGACAAGAAACUAAGAUUGAACAAGUUUAAUCCAUGUAAGGCUGAAUUUGUCACUAACCUUAUCUUGUGAUUAUGGUUUUGACAAAUUCACAUGGAUAGGAACUCAUACACUAUAAAAUCUAAGUGUCAUAAGGUUUCUCUCCGAUUCAUGAAAAUGAUGGUGAGGAAACGCUUUCACUAAGUAGAUUUUACGUAGAUAUCAAUUGUGUUAUUUGCAUUUUCAAAAGUCGUUAGUGGAGCGCGUGUGGUUAACCGGCACACUAACAUGGACUUGUGAGAAAUGGCAAAUGCCUAAGCAAUUGAGACUAUGAUUACGGCAUCCCUUUUCAUAGUUCUGAAAAUUGUUUAGACACACAUGUGAGCUAUCUAAGAAAGGGUGUAUGAAUCUAAAUUUCAGAAGUCCAGCAGAUUUCUGGAAAUAUGUCAGAGCUAGUGGGAGCAUAAGUGUUAUGCUGAUAAUCAUCAUGUUAGUGGGAGCAUGAUUAUUACGUUUAGUGUUGCAAGUUAGCAAUGUUAAUUAUAGAAAACAAAGUUUCAAUUCGUGAAGUUGCAGGGGUUGAAAAGUUGUUUUGCUAUAAUUAAGGGAGAGGAAAUUAUACUUCAUUUCAAUUCUAAAGCUUAGAUUGAGAUUUUAAUCAUCUUUAGUCAAGAAUAUAUAUAUGAAUUUUAUGUUGGAAUGGUUCAACUUGAAGAAAUUCUAUAUAUAUUGCGUUUUCAAAAUUCGAUUAUGAUUACGGCAUCCCUCUUCAUAGUUAAAUUUUGAAAACAUGGCAAAUAAAAAAUAUUGUAGCAAAAGACUGGUCUAGUAUCAUGUCUUUAUGUCAAACAUCAUGAAUCGUGUCCCAUAUGCUUCGGAUAUAGGAUCGAUUGCAUGUGCUAUAAUAUUCAUCUUUUCUAAAUUUUCCAAAUGCUUAAGGCAUUGAGAAGGGAAAAGUCUAGAACUGGAUAUGACUAAAGUGAUUAAGCAAUUGUCGAGGACAAUCUGAGGUUCGCCAAAGAUUGGUUGCUCAGGGAAAGUUGGAAGUAUGAUGUAAGUUGUCGGAAAGGACCAUAUUGACAUAUUCUGAAAAGAAGUAACUCUUGUUCGGAAGUGAUAGUCAAAAUGGGACUAUGGAAAUGUCUCCAUAGGUGGAAGUUAUUCAAUCUAUGUAAGAUUAGAAAACCUUAAUGCAAGAAGGAUGUUCAAAGCAAUGUACUUUGAAUAUGAGACUUCCGUUCCAUAGAAGUUGACCUUCUUUGGAAUACUCUGUAAUGACUGGUGACAAGGUUUUGGUGACUUUGUGCAUAAUCAUUACAAGAGGAACAUUGCAUAAAAGUUUAAAAUCUAACAGUUUUUUUGGUAAAUGAUAGGAAUCGGGGAUUCUCACAUUUACAAUAAGGAUUUGGGAUUGUGAAAUGAGUAUCAUUGGAAUCAUGUUCAAUUGAUCUACAUCACAAUGUAAGGAUCAUAGACAAACAUAGUGUGCAUACUUGGAGUAUGGCAUAACUAUUGUUUAGAAAAACAAAGUGUACAUGCUAGGAGCAUGGGACGACUGUUGUUUUUAUUCAAGUCUUAAGUUGAUUGUUUGAAACAUUAUACAAUGAAUAAUGUGUAAUCAAUAUGGUGAUAAAUAAAAGGUGGUUCUAUUUAUAUUCAAAAGGGUUCUGAGACCAUAUUGGAUUCGAUUAUUAUUGUGUUUCACUUUGCAUGUUUUGACUUCCAAAAUAGCUAGGUUAUUCUUUCCGAAUGACUAAGUUAUUUAAACACUCCACAGUCGUUCAUAUGUUGGAAGUAGGUAUGAAUCAAGACUGUCAUGAAUCGAGUUUGUAGAUGGCUAAAUGGGUUUAGUCAUAGCAAUGGUUGCUACAACAUUCAUGAGUGCUCAUAAGUUAUGAGUAUUGGAAUAAACCCACGCUCACUUGUAUCACUUCAUGGAAUUUAUCUCGAGUGAUCGUGAGACGGUAAUAUCAUAUAAAUCUUCAAACCUAGAGAUAUGAGUUGUUACCUAUGAGUUGGUUGUGCAUUGAUUGCACGUAAACGCAUCAGUAACUUGAUGUUAUAAAACGUGCCUUUGUGUACAAUUCAACAAGUAGUAGAACAAGCAUAUGAGUCGAAGUUUAUCUGUUCCUUCUAGAAAUAGAAGCGAUAUCUGGGCCCCUCGAUGAUUUUGUUGUGACCUAUGUACCGGCCGGUCAGAACUAAAUUGAUGUGUUCGAUUAAGUUCUUUGUCAAACAAAUCGAAAAUCGGGAAACAAACUGCUGGACAAUAAGUACGACGUUGUUCCAUGUAUUUGUCCGGCUGAUAUCAUGAGAACAGAGGAUUAUAUGAUCACUUAUCUAAAAUGGCGCUUCAUAGUUCAACAGAGUUUUCGAGAGCUACGAUUGCUGGUUGGUUCCUGAAGUAACAUACGCAAAUAUAGUUAUUAGACUUAUCCAAGUGGGAGUCUGUUGGAUAAGGUGUCUAAGUCCAUAACUUAUUUGGUAUAUACUUGACCCGACCCGGCAUGGUCCAUUUGGGUUGCACUUCACCCGAACUAUUUAUGGAUAAUUUUAUGAGAGUUAUACACAUAUGUUUAUUAAUAUAUUAUAAGUUAUAAUAUAUUAAUAUGAAGUUAUGUUAUUUAAUUAGUCUUAGUCUUAAAUUAAUUAUGAAUUAAUUUAGAGAUUAAAAGGAAGACUAAUUAGAUUAUGGGCUAUUGGUUUUAUAUGGUGUGGGCUAACACUCAUUUGUUAAUGGGCUAGGCUUAUAUGGAAGUCCAUGGAUGAUCCAUGGAGCUUUUAACCCAUGGAUCCUUGGAAAAGGAAAGGUCAUGGGUUAUUAGGGUUUCACCCUAACCAUGUACACUAUAUAAGCAUGCUUAUGUUGCAUGAAAUAGCCACUAGUGUGGUUUUGUGUGUGUGGCCGAUUUUUAUGUGUGUAUACACUCUCUCAAAGUUUUCCAAGAGUUUGUGGUGAUUUGUGAUUCCAUUUGAGGCAUUCACACUAUUGGUGCUUGGCCCUCAAACUCCUUAGGAAUCAAACUCAUCAUCAAAAGGUAUGUAAUCUCAUCUAAUUCUUUUAUGUUUAAAAGUACCCCAUGCCAUGUUAGAUAGGUUAUGAACCUUGGAAAAUUAUUAUUUUGCAUGUAUUUAGACAAACAUAGAUCCAAGGUUUAUUAGGGUUGCAUGCACACUUAGGAAGUGUUAGAUUGCUCAAAACCCAACAGUGGUAUCAGAGCCUAGGGUUGCUUGUUUGAUACUUGAAGCAAAAUAAUAAUAAUAAUAAUAAUAAUAAAAGAAUUUCGACUUUUGCUGCUGGAAAUGGACUAGAAAUAUUACCCUAAACUAUUUUGGUGUUUUAAAACUUGUUUUAGUUGGUGUAAUGGUUAUUCUAAUCCAUUUACAAUAGCAUAUAUCAAAAUUCCAUGAUUUUAUGUGUUCAUAUAAUUCUUGAAAUUUUGAUGAUCAUGUUCAUGUUCUUAUGAAUUUAGAAGAUGAUAGGAAUUAUUUGCUGAAUUGUUUAGAAUUAAUUCUUGAUCAUUUAUGUGUUUUAAUGGAGUCCAUAAUUUGUCCUCAAGUUAUGGAUAUCCAAAGGUCACUUUUCUUUAACACACAUUAAACACAUAAGUUACAUAAAAUGAAGAGUCUUCAUUUUUAUGAACCUUUAAUUCAUAAGUUAUGAAAUGAAAAGUUUUGGAUUGUGGAUGUUCAUGUUCAUAUGAGUUUUGUUAGAUCAUAGGAAUUAUUUGCAAAUUGUUUAUUAGUUAAUUCUUGAUCUUAAUGUGUUUUAAUGGAAUUCUUAAUUUGUCCUCAAGUUAUGGAAUUCGAAGAGUUUUUCUUUUAAAUGUUUUUAAGAAGUUGUAGGUUACAUUUUCUUGAAGAGUUUUUCCCAUAAAUGCUUUUAUGGACUUCAUAACUUGUCCUCAGGUUAUGGAUUUCCAAGAGACUCUUCAUUAAAAGCUUUAAAACACUUAAUUAAAACUCAUAAGUUAUGAAUAUCCAAAAGUUUAUGAAUUGUUCAAAACUUGCCCUCAAGUUUUGGAAUUUGUAAAGUCUCACACAAACUUUAAUUCCAUACCCUAGAAGUUUUAAAAGUUAAAAUUCUACCCUUAGGAAGUGUUAGAUUGCUCAAAACCCAACAAAAUUCUCAUUCAUCAUGCUAUACAACUUGCAUGAUUCCAAGUUUCGAUCCAAUUGAAACUUGGGUG
This 8201-nucleotide long non-coding RNA is filed under the name Lactuca sativa (garden lettuce). RNAcentral's name for it is "long non-coding RNA (LSAT_LNC009967)". The record is from RNAcentral. Lineage: Eukaryota; Viridiplantae; Streptophyta; Magnoliopsida; Asterales; Asteraceae.